CAUAUGUGUGCAUGUAGUUUGGAAACCUUUCUUUUCUUGCUCCAUCUUUUGGAGAAAUUUUUAUUCUCCUUGGAGACCCAUUUGGGAAGAAUUUUGGCUAAAUCAUGUGUCUGUGGGAGACCAUUCUUAUCUGGACCCGGAGCUGAGACUGGAGGCCAAAGGGAAGCACCAUUUCAGGAGCAGUCAAGUGCAUUGUGUCUUUGGCUCUGGAAAAUUAAUUCCAAAAGGCAUGUGUAGCCACUAUUCUCAUCCAUCUUUUAAAAAGCAAAUAGUGGACACAUAGCCAGCAGUAGCCAACAAAUGCCAAAAAUAUCCAAGUCCAUCAUCCCUAGGCACAAGUUAGUUGCUAUAGAGAAAAGCCAACAACUCUUAAACCUUCUUUUUUUUUUUUUUUUUUGGCUACAGGUGGGUGGUAAAAUAAUAAAGAGAGGGGGGUUAGGAACACGAUGAAACAAAGAUGAUAAAUGGAAACCAUUUUCUUUUAAGGGCCUCUCAAAAGAAGCAGUGUUUCUCCAGAGCCACCCCCUGCCCCCAACCAGUAUGGACUUGCUCGACAAUGACUGGCAUUUCCGUUCUCAGGCCGUUACUCAACUACCAUGUGGAAGUGUCUCUGACAGGAAGAGGAAGCAGGACCUCCAACCUUGGUGAGGUAAUGCUACUCAAAAAUCAAAUGAUGAGGUCCCAGUUAAUAUGGCUGCCUGACCCAAAUAUUUCCCCUGCCUUCCAAAAGCCCAAUAAAAUGAUUGCAAAAGAAUAGCCCAGAAGAACAAAGAGAAUGGGAAGAACACCAAGAUAAUACCAAAGAUUUCAAUUAAUUUCUGAAAAACUGAAGAGGACAGAAGACUGUGGGACCUUCUUGGACCAUCUUGAGUGUACUUGUAUUCCUGUUAGUAAAUCCUGGGGCAGAUUUGUGAGGAGCAGGGCCUGAAAGUUUAGCAAGGCUCUCUCUAUUCUAUAAGUUAAUAAGCCUCCUUCACAAUAUUUCAUAGAAUUAGAGAAUUUGGAAGCGACAUUAGAAAUUGCAUUUCUAAACUCUGCAUUGAAUUGGUGAAGAAAAUGAGGCAUAAGGAAAGUAGGAGACUGCCCUCAGUCACCCACUAGUAACUAGCAGACCUGAGAUAAUUAACCAUGUAUCUUUCCCAGUACACAUCCCACCAUAUUCCACUGCCUGUGUCAGAUGGCCAGGAUUGCCAAGGCAUUCUAUCAGUCCCUUUUAUCUUUCCAGUUACAUGUACCUCUCUCACACUAUUGCAUGAGGCAUGGAAGAAAAUACUGAGCCAGGGGUCAGAACACAAAAAUGCCUCAGCUCUGUUCCUGAUUAACUGUGUUGAUUCAUUCAUCUGCUUUGUAUUUGUGGGGGUAUAUGGUGUGUUAGGGAGUGGAGUGGACAAAUGGAGAUGGGGUUUUUAAUGUAUAUUUUUAAGGUUUUCUUUUUAAUUAAAAAUUAUAUACAGGAAUGUUAUUCAGUUAUGAAAAAGAGAAUGAAAUCCUGCCAUUUGCAACAAUAUGGAUGGACCUUGAGGGCAUUAUGCUAAGUGAAAUGAGCCAGACAGAGAAAGAUAAACACUGUAUGAUCUCAACUAAAUGUGGAGUCUAAAACAAACAAACAAACAAACAAACAAUGGAAAAAUAAAACAACAAACAAACAAAAAAAUCA
This 1657-nucleotide long non-coding RNA is filed under the name Felis catus (domestic cat). Its description in RNAcentral is "lncRNA (ENSFCAG00000048407.1)". The record is from RNAcentral. Lineage: Eukaryota; Metazoa; Chordata; Mammalia; Carnivora; Felidae.